UGCUCCAGUACAGGGCAAUGC
Molecule: unclassified non-coding RNA, 21 nt
Filed under: Mus musculus (house mouse)
Lineage: Eukaryota; Metazoa; Chordata; Mammalia; Rodentia; Muridae
Description: oocyte_clustered_small_RNA545
Source: RNAcentral